CCUACGGGAGGCAGCAGUGGGGAAUAUUGCACAAUGGGCGUAACCCUGAUCCAGCCACGCCGCGUGAGUGAAGAAGUAUUUCUGUACUUAAAGCUCUAUCAGCAGGGAAGAAAAAAGGACGGUACCUGAGUAAGAAGCGCCGGCUAACUACGUGCCAGCAGCCGCGGUAAUAAGGAGGAGUCAAGCGUUAUCCGGAAUUACUGGGGGUAAAGGGAGCGUAGACGGCAAUGCAAUUCCGGAGUGGAAUGCGGAAGCGCAACUGCCGAACUGAUCUGGAAACUGUAUGUCUUGAGUGCAGGAGAGGUAAGCGGAAUUCCUGGUGUAGCGGUGAAAUGCGUAGAUAUCAGGCAGAACACCGGUGGCGAAGGCGGCUUACUGGACUGCAACUGACGUUGAGGCUCGAAAGCGUGGGGAGCAAACAGGAUUAGAUACCCUUGUAGUC
RNAcentral lists this ribosomal RNA (442 nucleotides) under uncultured bacterium. Its description in RNAcentral is "partial 16S ribosomal RNA". It matches the Rfam family "Bacterial small subunit ribosomal RNA", at positions 338 to 795 of the family's 1533-position model. The record is from RNAcentral.